This 371-nucleotide ribosomal RNA is filed under the name uncultured organism. RNAcentral's name for it is "partial 16S ribosomal RNA". It matches the Rfam family "Bacterial small subunit ribosomal RNA", at positions 527 to 896 of the family's 1533-position model. The record is from RNAcentral.
GGAGGGUGCGAGCGUUAAUCGGAAUUACUGGGCGUAAAGCGCGCGCAGGCGGCUGGGUCAGUCGGAUGUGAAAGCCCCGGGGCUUAACCUGGGAAUUGCAUUCGAUACUGCCCGGCUAGAGUAUGGGAGAGGGAAGUGGAAUUUCCGGUGUAGCGGUGAAAUGCGUAGAUAUCGGAAGGAACACCAGUGGCGAAGGCGGCUUCCUGGCCCAAUACUGACGCUCAGGUGCGAAAGCGUGGGGAGCGAACAGGAUUAGAUACCCUGGUAGUCCACGCUGUAAACGAUGAGAACUAGAUGUUGGGAGGGUUAGCCUCUCAGUGUCGCAGCUAACGCGUUAAGUUCUCCGCCUGGGGAGUACGACCGCAAGGUUG